Molecule: ribosomal RNA, 260 nt
Filed under: uncultured Gemmatimonas sp.
Lineage: Bacteria; Pseudomonadati; Gemmatimonadota; Gemmatimonadia; Gemmatimonadales; Gemmatimonadaceae
Description: partial 16S ribosomal RNA
Rfam family: Bacterial small subunit ribosomal RNA
Source: RNAcentral
GCGAACGGGUGCGUUCCACGUGAGCGAAAAGCCUUCCCGCGGGGGAUAGCCGGCCCAACGGCCGGGUAAUACUGCCUACGCUCGAUUGGGGGCCUCCCUGAUCGAGGAAACUUCUGGGGCGGGGAGAGGGGCUCGCGGCCUAUCAGCUAGUUGGCGGGGUAACGGCCCACCAAGGCAGUGACGGGUAGCUGGUCUGAGAGGAUGGCCAGCCACAUUGGGACUGAGAGACGGCCCAGACUCCUACGGGAGGCAGCAGUGGG